GACAGAGGGUGCAAACGUUGUUCGGAAUUACUGGGCGUAAAGCGUGUGUAGGCGGCCGCGUAAGUCGGAUGUGAAAGCCCUGGGCUCAACCCAGGAAGUGCACUCGAUACUGCGUGGCUUGAGUACUGGAGAGGUUGGUGGAAUUCUCGGUGUAGAGGUGAAAUUCGUAGAUAUCGAGAGGAACACCGGUGGCGAAGGCGGCCAACUGGACAGAUACUGACGCUGAGACAAGAAAGCGUGGGGAGCAAACAGG
Molecule: ribosomal RNA, 253 nt
Filed under: uncultured bacterium
Lineage: Bacteria
Description: partial 16S ribosomal RNA
Rfam family: Bacterial small subunit ribosomal RNA
Source: RNAcentral